AGGGUUUGAUCAUGGCUCAGGAUGAACGCUAGCGGCAGGCUUAACACAUGCAAGUCGAGGGGUAACAGAGGUAGCUUGCUACUUGCUGACGACCGGCGCACGGGUGCGUAACGCGUAUACAAUCUGCCUUAUACAGAGGGAUAGCCUUUAGAAAUGAAGAUUAAUACCUCAUGGUCUAUUAAUAUAGCAUUAUAUAAAUAGUAAAGCUUCGGCGGUAUAAGAUGAGUAUGCGUCCUAUUAGUUAGUUGGUAAGGUAACGGCUUACCAAGACUACGAUAGGUAGGGGCCCUGAGAGGGGGAUCCCCCACACUGGUACUGAGACACGGACCAGACUCCUACGGGAGGCAGCAGUGAGGAAUAUUGGACAAUGGAGGAAACUCUGAUCCAGCCAUGCCGCGUGCAGGAAGACGGCCCUAUGGGUUGUAAACUGCUUUUAUAUAGGAAGAAACCUUUUCACGUGUGAGAAGCUGACGGUACUAUAAGAAUAAGGACCGGCUAACUCCGUGCCAGCAGCCGCGGUAAUACGGAGGGUCCGAGCGUUAUCCGGAAUCAUUGGGUUUAAAGGGUCCGUAGGCGGGAAUCUAAGUCAGUGGUGAAAUCUUACAGCUCAACUGUAAAAUUGCCAUUGAUACUGGGUUUCUUGAAUUAGUGUGAAGUGAUUAGAAUGUGUAGUGUAGCGGUGAAAUGCAUAGAUAUUACACAGAAUACCAAUUGCGAAGGCAGAUCACUAACACUAUAUUGACGCUGAGGGACGAAAGCGUGGGGAGCGAACAGGAUUAGAUACCCUGGUAGUCCACGCCGUAAACGAUGGAUACUAGCUGUUCGGUCUUCGGAUUGAGUGGCUAAGCGAAAGUGAUAAGUAUCCCACCUGGGGAGUACGUUCGCAAGAAUGAAACUCAAAGGAAUUGACGG
RNAcentral lists this ribosomal RNA (912 nucleotides) under uncultured bacterium. RNAcentral's name for it is "bacterial SSU rRNA". It matches the Rfam family "Bacterial small subunit ribosomal RNA", at positions 8 to 916 of the family's 1533-position model. The record is from RNAcentral.